RNAcentral lists this ribosomal RNA (510 nucleotides) under Candida albicans. RNAcentral describes it as "eukaryotic LSU rRNA". The stretch from base 142 to 295 matches the Rfam family "5.8S ribosomal RNA". Lineage: Eukaryota; Fungi; Ascomycota; Pichiomycetes; Serinales; Debaryomycetaceae. The record is from RNAcentral.
GGCUCUGACUGCUUAUUGCACCACAUGUGUUUUUCUUUGAAACAAACUUGCUUUGGCGGUGGGCCCAGCCUGCCGCCAGAGGUCUAAACUUACAACCAAUUUUUUAUCAACUUGUCACACCAGAUUAUUACUAAUAGUCAAAACUUUCAACAACGGAUCUCUUGGUUCUCGCAUCGAUGAAGAACGCAGCGAAAUGCGAUACGUAAUAUGAAUUGCAGAUAUUCGUGAAUCAUCGAAUCUUUGAACGCACAUUGCGCCCUCUGGUAUUCCGGAGGGCAUGCCUGUUUGAGCGUCGUUUCUCCCUCAAACCGCUGGGUUUGGUGUUGAGCAAUACGACUUGGGUUUGCUUGAAAGACGGUAGUGGUAAGGCGGGAUCGCUUUGACAAUGGCUUAGGUCUAACCAAAAACAUUGCUUGCGGCGGUAACGUCUACCACGUAUAUCUUCAAACUUUGACCUCAAAUCAGGUAGGACUACCCGCUGAACUUAAGCAUAUCAAUAAGCGGGAGGAA